AGUGAACGCUGGCGGUAGGCCUAACACAUGCAAGUCGAACGGCAGCACAGUAAGAGCUUGCUCUUACGGGUGGCGAGUGGCGGACGGGUGAGGAAUACAUCGGAAUCUACUUUUUCGUGGGGGAUAACGUAGGGAAACUUACGCUAAUACCGCAUACGGCCUACGGGUGAAAGCAGGGGAUCUUCGGACCUUUCGCGAUUGAAUGAGCCGAUGUCGGAUUAGCUAGUUGGCGGGGUAAAGGCCCACCAAGGCGACGAUCCGUAGCUGGUCUGAGAGGAUGAUCAGCCACACUGGAACUGAGACACGGUCCAGACUCCUACGGGAGGCAGCAGUGGGGAAUAUUGGACAAUGGGCGCAAGCCUGAUCCAGCCAUACCGCGUGGGUGAAGAAGGCCUUCGGGUUGUAAAGCCCUUUUGUUGGGAAAGAAAAGCAGCAGGUUAAUACCCCGCUGUUCUGACGGUACCCAAAGAAUAAGCACCGGCUAACUUCGCG
Molecule: ribosomal RNA, 492 nt
Filed under: uncultured bacterium
Lineage: Bacteria
Description: partial 16S ribosomal RNA
Rfam family: Bacterial small subunit ribosomal RNA
Source: RNAcentral